GAAGAGAUACAAAAAGCAGAGACUGGAUGAUCUAGAUUGCACUAAGCCAACGACGUCAGCAGUUAGACAUGAAGAUUCUUCUUCUAAUCCUGCCCCUACUGCAACUGCCCUUCUUAACAAGGAGCGAGAGAAACUGACUUUUCUUAAGGAGAAACUGGAGUGGCAAAAGAAGAGAAUUGAAGAACUGGAAGGAGAGAGAGAUUUUCUCCGAAGUCAGCUAUCAUCCCUUACAAAGCAACCUAAAGACGAACCAUUCAAUGAUCCAUUUUCCUCGAAGGCUUCUGAAAACUCAGAUUCAUCUUUCGCAUCUUCAUCUGUAUCGUCUGUGUGGUCAUCCUCAUCUUCAUCCCCAAAGAAGCGAAAGCACAAAUACAACAAAAAGCAUUCAAGAGCCAAGAAACCCAAGAAGGAGCAGAAGAAGCUCCGGC
Molecule: non-coding RNA, 428 nt
Organism: Maylandia zebra (zebra mbuna)
Lineage: Eukaryota; Metazoa; Chordata; Actinopteri; Cichliformes; Cichlidae
Source: RefSeq, a predicted model, not a curated record